UUUACCUGUUAAAAUCAGUUAACGAUUCUGAAAUACGUAGAUUACUCUUACCAAUAUACCAACCAUGCUAAAAUGCUUUAACAAAUGGCUCAUGCUACAUAGCCACAUUUGUUGACACAUCGGUUGACACAACACACUCACAUGAGGAGGUCGGCAUUAUUUUAUUGGCGCGGGACCCACACCUCGACUGUGAGAGGUGUGUCAACAUUUGUGUCAACAAAUGUGGUCAUUUGGCUUAAUUCUUAACAAAUAGACAUCUAAACUACAAACUCACAAUCAUGUUACAACUGCAUAAUCCUAUUACAUUUACAACUGCAUAAUCCUAUUACAUUAAAAAACAAUACAAGUCUAACACAUUAAAAUCAUACUUGCUAACACUCAAGUAACAUCAUUAGUGGCACUUUCACUAAUAGAAGAAUCACUUGAACUGUUCGAGUCCCGGGAGAUUGUAUUUUGACAAGUCUUUCUAUUAUGCCCG
RNAcentral lists this long non-coding RNA (478 nucleotides) under Olea europaea (common olive). RNAcentral describes it as "long non-coding RNA (OEUR_LNC008819)". The record is from RNAcentral. Lineage: Eukaryota; Viridiplantae; Streptophyta; Magnoliopsida; Lamiales; Oleaceae.